CCACAAAUAAACAGCCCCUUCGCUUGAGCCCCGCCAGCCCAGGGUGUCUAACUGCAGCGUCGACAUAUCCCUUGCGCAAGCUUAUAAACCUUUAUGGCCUCCUCCUUCCUGGUGUUGAGUGCUCUCGAUUCCCAGGGACACCAAUGGGAGUUGAGGGUGCUCAGUUCCAGGCCAGAUCAAUUUAUAGCUCAGGGGAUACUAGGAAGGAAGCUGAAAGGAAAAUCUACCGAAGACCCCGACCCAGCAAAUCCUUACUCACGAGAGUAGCUUUCUGCACCCAAAUAGAUCUCCUAACUGCUCACUUCCAUUGACUUCAGCGUGGCUGCUCCCAAGAAUAAAGUUACUCGCAGAGGUUGGGCUCCUGGAGUCUUUCACUACGAGGCAGGUUUUCCAAUCCUUUAAUCAUUCUUGUGGCUCUUCUCUGAACCCUCUCCACUGUAUCAACAUCCUUCCUGAAAUGUGGACACCAGAACUGGACAGAGUAUUCCAGCAGUGGUCGCACCAGUGCCAAAUACAUGGGGAAUAUGAUAACAGGAAGUUUUCUAAUAUUUGCUGCCGAUGAAGAAUUAAGGACAAUAGCUAAUCUACUGUGCGUCACAGAGUAAAUAACCCAGUGCUCAUGGUCUGUCCUCUGUCACUGUCAGGCCAUUGCUUCGGAACAGAUGACACGUGUCUUUGGGACAGCAAGUCAUAUGACAAGUUUCCACAGCUGGCUCGUUACAUUACAUUCCUGCGGUGAUCUGAGAGACAACAGAAGGCUUGACUGCGAGGCCAGGAAUUUCCUGCUAACCCCGCCAGGCUAAGCAUGGCACAGUGAACAAAUGGGCCUGGGUAACUUUUGGACAACACUAAUAACGCACUUGGUUUGUCUGUUCUGUACCUUUGGAAAAGCUGUUGUGAAAAAAAUGAGCUGUUUUUCCUGGCUUCCUCUGAAUGCUAGUGCUGAACACUUACCUAACGCUUUCCCUCUUCCACUUGCUGCGGCAGGAUUAACUAAUGAAAUCCUCACAAUACUCCAGGUGAGUCAGUGCUAUGAUCCUCAUUUUACAGAUGGGGAAACCGAGGCACAGAUCAAUGCUAUGAUAUGCAGGAGGCCACAGAUGGAGACACUGUCAGAGUGGAAGUAGGACUCAAGGGCUCAUCUGUGGUGUUUAUGGGGGUACAAGGAGGCAGCUCAAAGUAGCUUCUGUUCAUUAGGGGUGUAUGUUAUCUCGAGUGUCCUAGGUAACGAGUAACAUAUUAGGACUGCAGCUUUUAUGAAUCAAUUGCCUAAGUCACUUGUCAUUCAAUAUUGUAAUGUCUUGCUGGUUGGGAAGCUCUGCAAAUGAUCUCUCAUCACCUAAGUGAGGAGAGAGCUGUACUGCACUUAAUAGCAGGGGGGUAGAUGAAAAGUGGUGUGCACUCACUGUUGCUUUUUGGAAUAUGCUAACACACAACUGUACAUGAGCUCAGAUCACUGCCAGGCCCAGAGCAUUGUGCUCUCUCUAUAAGAGUGGAGAUCAAUCAAUCAAAUGAUUACAUGCCAUUUUUAAUCACUCUAUUUUUAGAGCUGAUGGGCCAGAUCGUCAGCUAGCGUAAAUCGGUGUAGCCCCAUGGAUGUCAGUGGAGCAAUGCCAGUUUGCACCAGCUGAGGAUCUGGCUCAGGCUGUCAAAGAGAGGUGAAUUUUUCACUCUACUGUGCUUGAGCCAUGAAAAUUCUCUCGGUAAAAAUGUGUCGUGGUGACGUUAGGGGUGAAUUAGUUCUUCUGAAGAAAGGGGGAGGGGGGGACAUCAUUCCUUUUUGCUGAUUCUCCCUUAAAAAGUAUUUGGAGGCACUUUGGGGGCACUUUUUUUUUUUUAAAUCUUCAGCAUUUUGAUCUGAAGCCUCCUUGUCAGAGACAGACUAUACAAAUAAAAUGCAAACCAAAUAAAACGCCCCCAGCCCCAGU
Molecule: long non-coding RNA, 1928 nt
Organism: Emys orbicularis (European pond turtle)
Lineage: Eukaryota; Metazoa; Chordata; Testudines; Emydidae
Exons: 5
Source: RefSeq, a predicted model, not a curated record